RNAcentral lists this ribosomal RNA (406 nucleotides) under uncultured bacterium. Its description in RNAcentral is "partial 16S ribosomal RNA". It matches the Rfam family "Bacterial small subunit ribosomal RNA", at positions 30 to 526 of the family's 1533-position model. The record is from RNAcentral.
AUUGAACGCUGGCGGCAGGCCUAACACAUGCAAGUCGAACGAGUGGCGGACGGGUGCAUACUGCGUGGGAAUCUAACAUAUGGAGGGGGAUAACUACGGGAAACUGUGGCUAAUACCGCAUACCAUCGGAUGAGCCCAUAUGUGAUUAGGUAGUUGGUGGGGUAAAGGCUCACCAAGGCGACGAUCUCUAGCUGGUCUGAGAGGAUGAACAGCCACACUGUGACUGAGACACGGCCCAGACUCCUACGGGAGUCAGCAGUUGGGAAUAUUGCACAAUGGGGGCAAGCCUGAUGCAGCCAUGCCGCGUGAAUGAAGAAGGCCUUCGGGUUGUAAAGUUCUUUCGGUCGCGAGGCGUUAACUACAGAAGAAGCACCGGCUAACUCCGUGCCAGCAGCCGCGGUAAUUC